UCCAGGUAGUCCAGGUGCUGCAGGAUCCCGGCGAUGUCGCCGCCGUAGAACGAAGAGUAGUCCGGCUUUCCGUCCGUGCGGUACGGACUCUUGGAA
RNAcentral lists this transfer RNA (96 nucleotides) under Gemmatimonadota bacterium. Its description in RNAcentral is "tRNA-Asp". The record is from RNAcentral. Lineage: Bacteria; Pseudomonadati; Gemmatimonadota.